Pelodiscus sinensis (Chinese soft-shelled turtle) is the source of this 525-nucleotide non-coding RNA. The record is from the annotation of a RefSeq genome assembly. NCBI's taxonomy places the organism in Eukaryota, Metazoa, Chordata, Testudines, Trionychidae.
AUGAAUUUACAGACUCAACUCGUCUGUCUCCUAGUGCUCUGGAUUCAGGAUGCAAAAGGGCAAAUUGUCAUGACUCAGAGUCCACAAUCCUUGGCAGUGUUUUCAGGAGACAGAAUCACUAUCAACUGCAAAGCCAGUUCCAGUGCUAGCAACUGGAUGUCCUGGUACCAACAGAAAACAGGACAAGCACCUAAGCUUCUCAUCUAUCAAGCCUCUAGCCGUCCCUCUGGGAUCCCAGACCGGUUCAGCGGCAGUGGGUCUGGCACCGACUUCACAUUCACCAUCAGUCGGGUUGAAGCAGAUGAUGCUGGAGAUUAUUACUGUCUACAAUCUCAAAGCUGGCCUCUCACACUGAUACAGACCAAUACAAAAACCUCUCCCUGCUUUCUUCAGUUUCUGUUCCCCACUGUAACCGCUGAUGCCUGUAGAAAAUCAACGUUUCUCUCCAGCUGCUGCUAUCUCAAAGUCAGACGCACUGACAGCAACUCUGGGCCCCAGGGCAGAACAAUCAAUGGGCCCCAUUAA